RNAcentral lists this ribosomal RNA (1053 nucleotides) under Pisaura lama. Its description in RNAcentral is "SSU rRNA". It matches the Rfam family "Eukaryotic small subunit ribosomal RNA", at positions 684 to 1753 of the family's 1831-position model. The record is from RNAcentral. Lineage: Eukaryota; Metazoa; Arthropoda; Arachnida; Araneae; Pisauridae.
GCCUGUUCUGAACAGCCAGCCGGUUUCUCUUGAUGAUCUUCACCGGUUGUCUUGGGUGACCGGCAAGUUUACUUUGAAAAAAUUAGAGUGCUCAAAGCAGGCGUGACGCCUGAAUAAUGGUGCAUGGAAUAAUGGAAUAGGACCUCGGUUCUAUUUUGUUGGUUUUCGGAACACGAGGUAAUGAUUAAGAGGGACAGACGGGGGCAUUCGUAUUGCGACGCUAGAGGUGAAAUUCUUGGACCGUCGCAAGACGAACUACUGCGAAAGCAUUUGCCAAGAAUGUUUCCAUUAAUCAAGAACGAAAGUUAGAGGUUCGAAGGCGAUCAGAUACCGCCCUAGUUCUAACCAUAAACGAUGCCAGCCAGCGAUCCGGCUGUGUUCCUCAAAUGACACGCCGGGCAGCUUCCGGGAAACCAAAGCUUUUGGGUUCCGGGGGAAGUAUGGUUGCAAAGCUGAAACUUAAAGGAAUUGACGGAAGGGCACCACCAGGAAUGGAGCCUGCGGCUUAAUUUGACUCAACACGGGAAAACUUACCCGGCCCGGACACAGGAAGGAUUGACAGAUUAAGAGCUCUUUCUUGAUUCUGUGGGUGGUGGUGCAUGGCCGUUCUUAGUUGGUGGAGCGAUUUGUCUGGUUAAUUCCGAUAACGAACGAGACUCUAGCCUACUAAAUAGACGUUCCGAUCAUCUCCGUCGGACGUUCUUCUUAGAGGGACAAGCGGCGUUUAGCCGCACGAGACAGAGCAAUAACAGGUCUGUGAUGCCCUUAGAUGUCCGGGGCCGCACGCGCGCUACAUUGAAGGAAUCAGCGUGUGCUUUCCCGGUCCGACAGGACUGGGUAACCCGUUGAACCUCCUUCGUGCUGGGGAAUAGGAAAUUGGUAAUUGUUUUCCUUGAACGAGGAAUUCCCAGUAAGCACGAGUCAUAAGCUCGUGUUGAUUACGUCCCUGCCCUUUGUACACACCGCCCGUCGCUACUACCGAUUGAAUGGAUUUAGUGAGGUCCUCGGACUGGCGCUCGGAACGGCCUUCGGGUCCCGCCGGCGUGCCGGAAA